This 491-nucleotide ribosomal RNA is filed under the name uncultured bacterium. RNAcentral's name for it is "partial 16S ribosomal RNA". It matches the Rfam family "Bacterial small subunit ribosomal RNA", at positions 29 to 507 of the family's 1533-position model. The record is from RNAcentral.
AUGAACGCUAGCUACAGGCUUAACACAUGCAAGUCGAGGGGAAACGGCAUCGAAAGCUUGCUUUUGAUGGGCGUCGACCGGCGCACGGGUGAGUAACGCGUAUCCAACCUGCCCAUCACUUGGGAAUAACCUUGCGAAAGUAAGACUAAUGCCCAAUGACAUCCCACGAAGGCAUCCGAAUGGGAUUAAAGAUUUAUCGGUGAUGGAUGGGGAUGCGUCUGAUUAGCUUGUUGGCGGGGUGACGGCCCACCAAGGCAACGAUCAGUAGGGGUUCUGAGAGGAAGGUCCCCCACAUUGGAACUGAGACACGGUCCAAACUCCUACGGGAGGCAGCAGUGAGGAAUAUUGGUCAAUGGGCGAGAGCCUGAACCAGCCAAGUAGCGUGCAGGAUGACGGCCCUAUGGGUUGUAAACUGCUUUUAGAAGGGAAUAAAGUGGGUCACGUGUGACUUUUUGCAUGUACCUUAUGAAUAAGAACCGGCUAAUUCCGUG